RNAcentral lists this ribosomal RNA (253 nucleotides) under uncultured bacterium. RNAcentral's name for it is "partial 16S ribosomal RNA". It matches the Rfam family "Bacterial small subunit ribosomal RNA", at positions 524 to 776 of the family's 1533-position model. The record is from RNAcentral.
CACGUAGGGGACGAGCGUUGUCCGGAUUCAUUGGGCGUAAAGCGCGCGUAGGCGGCUUUGUAAGUUAGAGGUGAAAGCCCGGAGCUCAACUCCGGAAUUGCCUUUAAGACUGCAUCGCUAGAAUCAUGGAGAGGUGAGUGGAAUUCCGAGUGUAGAGGUGAAAUUCGUAGAUAUUCGGAAGAACACCAGUGGCGAAGGCGACUCACUGGACAUGUAUUGACGCUGAGGUGCGAAAGCGUGGGGAGCAAACAGG